Portunus trituberculatus (swimming crab) is the source of this 500-nucleotide long non-coding RNA. RefSeq lists it as uncharacterized. The record is from RefSeq and is a predicted model, not a curated record. The transcript has 3 exons. Lineage: Eukaryota; Metazoa; Arthropoda; Malacostraca; Decapoda; Portunidae.
AAACUGUGCCAUAAAAUGGCUAUCUCUUAAAAAAACUGCCAAAUUCUUAUGGCAUUUUUGUAGUUUUGCCAUAAAAAUGCCAUAUUUUGAGAAAUGUUUAUAAUUUCCUAUCAAAUCUGCAUAGUUUUUUUUACUCCCCCCCCCCUCAUGGAAUCGGUGGAGAUUUUUAUUUCACUCUUAUCCAAGAUGGUAAAUUAAAUAGCCUGGGUUAAAAAAUUGCCGUUUUCUAUAGUGAUAUUUAAGAACUUCACGGCACUGUAAACAAAAACACUCGUCUGGCGGGCUACCAGCAGGCUUUGGAGCCACGGCUAUGCUAUUCCUUGGCUUAUAAAUUUAUCAUCAUGCCCAAGGGAACUAAGAAGCCAUGGAUGGACUUGCAUAAGCGAGCUGCCGAUACCAAGGCCUUCCUCAUAAGUCUUGGGACACCUGUAGCAUCAAGAUCAAGGAGCUGCCGAUCCAAAGGCCCGACUCAGGAGUGAUCCCUGUAGUAUCAAGAUCAA